This 195-nucleotide unclassified non-coding RNA is filed under the name soil metagenome. Its description in RNAcentral is "partial contains 5.8S ribosomal RNA, internal transcribed spacer 2, and large subunit ribosomal RNA". The record is from RNAcentral.
AAGACUAUAGACCUGCGGAGUACCUGCGGAGGGAUCAUUACCGAGUGUUUCUACUCUAAACCCACUGUGAACCUUACCACUGUCGUUGCUUCGGCGGGCGUCCGCGCCCGCCGGCAGCACCCAAACUCUUGAUUUUUAGCAUGCCUCUCUGAGUACUAAAGACAAAACAAUCAAAACUUUUAACAACGGAUCUCU